GAGCCAUUGCACAUCUUUUUCCUCUGCUUUUGCCUCUGGAUACAUAAAUUGUGUGCACUAAGCUCGGUCUCAUUAAUUUUACCACAAUUUGGGCAUCCUUGAAAUUGGAGGAAGAGAGAAAUAUGGGUCUUUGUGAAACAGGUACAAUUUCACAAUUUUCCUGCCCUUCUCCAGCCUGGCUGAAAUCUUAAGGCUUACUAUUUGAAGAGUUUGAACCACAGGACCCUGGACUCUAGACACUAGGCAAGGGGACCAACCAAACUGAAAAGACAGGGAUUAGGUGAAAUUCUUGGAGUUAGUCACCAAACUCUCUGAAUGUUGGCAGCAUCAUUAUUAAGGCAUUUUCCUUCCACCUCUUAAAUUAGAAGACCAGGGUCUCCUUUCUGGUGAAACUGCCCAGCCUAUGAGGAAAGACCUGUAGAUACUGAAGUUGGGGUUCUUACAUGAAUCACCAAAGAGUGAAGUCUUCCAAUUUCCAAGUGUGGCCCAAGCCUGUUGAGUGUCCUAUCAACUCAGUUUCAAGAGAAUAGUCAAGGAUCACUGAGCACUUGAAGAAAGAUUAUGACAUGAAUAAAAGGAAUUCAGAUGAAACAGA
This is a long non-coding RNA of Felis catus (domestic cat), 595 nucleotides long. RefSeq lists it as uncharacterized. NCBI's taxonomy places the organism in Eukaryota, Metazoa, Chordata, Mammalia, Carnivora, Felidae. The transcript is spliced from 2 exons. The record is from RefSeq and is a predicted model, not a curated record.